CCUACGGGGGGCAGCAGUCGCGAAACCUUUACAAUGCGCGAAAGCGUGAUAGGGGGAUUUCGAGUGUCCCUUUUGGGACUUUUGCCAAGUCUAAAUCGCUUGGCGAAUAAGAGGGGGGUAAGAUACGUGCCAGCCGCCGCGGUAAUACGUACCCCUCAAGUGGUAUCCACUUAUAUUGGGCCUAAAGCGUCUGUAGCCGGUGUAACACGUCCUUGGUGAAAUUCGAGCGCUUAACGUUCGAAAGGGCCAAGGAUACGAUUAUGCUCGAGGUCGGAAGAGGUCAAGGGAAUGUUCGGGGUAGCGGUGAAAUGUUGUGAUCCCGAAUGGACCACCAGUAGCGAAGGCGCUUGACCAGGACGAACCUGACGGUGAGAGACGAAAGCUGGGGGAGCGACCCGGAUUAGAUACCCCAGUAGUC
This 418-nucleotide ribosomal RNA is filed under the name uncultured bacterium. RNAcentral describes it as "bacterial SSU rRNA". It matches the Rfam family "Archaeal small subunit ribosomal RNA", at positions 322 to 746 of the family's 1478-position model. The record is from RNAcentral.